This 253-nucleotide ribosomal RNA is filed under the name uncultured bacterium. RNAcentral describes it as "partial 16S ribosomal RNA". It matches the Rfam family "Bacterial small subunit ribosomal RNA", at positions 524 to 776 of the family's 1533-position model. The record is from RNAcentral.
UACGUAGGUGGCAAGCGUUGUCCGGAAUUAUUGGGCUUAAAGCGCGCGCAGGCGGCCUCUUAAGUCUGAUGUGAAAGCCCCCGGCUCAACCGGGGAGGGCCAUUGGAAACUGGGAGGCUUGAGUAUAGGAGAGAAGAGUGGAAUUCCACGUGUAGCGGUGAAAUGCGUAGAGAUGUGGAGGAACACCAGUGGCGAAGGCGACUCUUUGGCCUAUAACUGACGCUGAGGCGCGAAAGCGUGGGGAGCAAACAGG